CCUGUGUGCUGUUUUUUAAGGAACCACUGCUUAUUAAUUGUUUUACCAGUUCUGGCACAGUCCUGGAAAGAGACUCAAGGCUGCAAGCCCUUCCAAAAAUCAAUGAUCCUGGAACCUCUGGAGGAAUUUGUAAAUUUGAAGGGAAAGUCUUUUUCCAUGUCCUGUAAUGUGACUGUGGGAUGCAAACACCAAAGAAAACACUGAACAGCUAUGAUGGGUAGCUACGAACAAGAGCCUCAUAGGAGCUGAACAGGGAGGGAUGGAGACAUAAACUAGACGGG
RNAcentral lists this long non-coding RNA (281 nucleotides) under Dromaius novaehollandiae (emu). RNAcentral's name for it is "lncRNA (ENSDNVG00000012815.1)". The record is from RNAcentral. Lineage: Eukaryota; Metazoa; Chordata; Aves; Casuariiformes; Dromaiidae.